AAAUCCGUUGGCUUUAUUGACCGUGAGGGUUCAAGUCCCNCUACCCCC
RNAcentral lists this transfer RNA (48 nucleotides) under Oncophorus virens. RNAcentral describes it as "partial tRNA-Leu". The record is from RNAcentral. Lineage: Eukaryota; Viridiplantae; Streptophyta; Bryopsida; Dicranales; Rhabdoweisiaceae.